AUCAAAACGACUUGCAUUUUCAGGUGAGAAAUGAACGGAAACUGAAAACAAAACCCAUAAUAUGCCAACUAUCCAACAAACAUUCAAAUAUUGUUAAACAAAAAAGAAGACGAGGACAUUUAUUACAACAAGUAAACAGACAAGUCCUAUACCAUAAAAUGAAUGCCAGAAAAUAGAACAGAGAAACAUCAGGCAGGUACUUAAAAGACUUGAACUACAUAAAAAAGAUUGCAGAGAAUGAUUUUAAGGAAAAGACAUAUGGACCAGUAUGAAGAACAAUUAAUAUAGGCUGGUGUCAUUGCAGCAAAAGGAGAUAGUAUACAACAUGUGGGAAAGGGGCCUUAGAAGUCAUGUAGUUCAAAUGCUUCAUCUUACUUAUCCAAGGUGACAAAAUUCAAAUAAUUUGAAGAGAAAUCUGAGAAAAUGCUGGAAGGAAUCUAACCUUCAUUCUGUAGACAAUAAGGAAAGGUUCUGAGCCAAAGUAAUAAUCACAACUGUAUUAAAGAUGCUGACAUAUG
This is a long non-coding RNA of Monodelphis domestica (gray short-tailed opossum), 518 nucleotides long. RefSeq lists it as uncharacterized. The record is from RefSeq and is a predicted model, not a curated record. NCBI's taxonomy places the organism in Eukaryota, Metazoa, Chordata, Mammalia, Didelphimorphia, Didelphidae.